RNAcentral lists this non-coding RNA (28 nucleotides) under Mus musculus (house mouse). The record is from RNAcentral. Lineage: Eukaryota; Metazoa; Chordata; Mammalia; Rodentia; Muridae.
UCAUUCUGGUCAUACGUAUCUCCCCCGC